Cygnus olor (mute swan) is the source of this 490-nucleotide long non-coding RNA. RefSeq lists it as uncharacterized. NCBI's taxonomy places the organism in Eukaryota, Metazoa, Chordata, Aves, Anseriformes, Anatidae. The record is from RefSeq and is a predicted model, not a curated record. The transcript has 2 exons.
GUGCCCUCCCGCUUCCUCCCCCUCCGCCCAGCCCCAGCGUGCGCAUGCGGGGCUGCGGGCGGGGGAGAGGCCGGCGGGGCGCCCCGAGGUGCGGCCAACGGAUGGCCCCGGCUCUGAUCUCGGUCCUGGCCCCUAUCCCCAUCCCAAUCCCGGUCCCGGUCCCGAUCCCGGCCCUCACCCGCCCGUGAGGGGCCGCGUCGGGGAGAGGAGGGUGCACGACCUCCCCGCCGCCGUUGGGAGCGAGUGUGGGGGCCGCUGAGGUUCCCCGGAGGUUUUCGUUUUCGACGCUGGAAGGUUGUGAAAUAAGGCGUUUGGCAAAGCGCUGGAGGAGAGGUGGCAGCAGCUCUGAGGAGGACAGAAGAGGGGCGGCAGGCAGGCUUUGCCCUUGCCCCGGGAUGUUGUCCGUGGGUGUUAUGGACCCUUCACCACAAGAACAGCAUCUCCCUUCCGUCAUGCAUUUUGUACACUCACACGUUUGUGUAUGCACCCA